GUAGGUGGCAAGCGUUGUCCGGAAUUAUUGGGGCGUAAAGCGCGCGCAGGCGGUUCUUUAAGUCUGAUGUGAAAGCCCACGGGCUCAACCGUGGAGGGUCAUUGGAAACUGGAGAACUUGAGUACAGAAGAGGAAAGCGGAAUUCCACGUGUAGCGGUGAAAUGCGUAGAGAUGUGGAGGAACACCAGUGGCGAAGGCGGCUUUCUGGUCUGUAACUGACGCUGAAGCGCGAAAGCGUGGGGAGCAAACAGGAUUAGAUACCCUGGUAGUCCACGCCGUAAACGAUGAGUGCUAAGUGUUAGGGGGUUUCCGCCCCUUAGUGCUGCAGCUAACGCAUUAAGCACUCCGCCUGGGGAGUACGGCCGCAAAGGCUG
Molecule: ribosomal RNA, 374 nt
Filed under: uncultured organism
Description: partial 16S ribosomal RNA
Rfam family: Bacterial small subunit ribosomal RNA
Source: RNAcentral